UACGUAGGGUGCGAGCGUUGUCCGGAUUUAUUGGGCGUAAAGGGCUCGUAGGCGGCGUGUCGCGUCGGGAGUGAAAGCCCGUUGCUUAACGGCGGGUUGGCUUUCGGUACGGGCAUGCUGGAGUGCGGCAGGGGAGACUGGAAUUCCUGGUGUAGCGGUGAAAUGCGCAGAUAUCAGGAGGAACACCGGUGGCGAAGGCGGGUCUCUGGGCCGUAACUGACGCUGAGGAGCGAAAGCGUGGGGAGCGAACAGG
Molecule: ribosomal RNA, 253 nt
Filed under: uncultured bacterium
Lineage: Bacteria
Description: partial 16S ribosomal RNA
Rfam family: Bacterial small subunit ribosomal RNA
Source: RNAcentral